AAGCAGAUGAGAGAUCUAGCACCACAGGGCUUCACGAGCAAGGCAUUAGGCAGCUGGUAAACUUCCCCAGAUCCUGAGCAGUCUCUGGUGUCACCACCUUCCCCUUCACCCCCAGGACCCAGCUCUUCCCCCCUGGAGCACAGCCAGACCCUUCAGUGGCACUCCGAGGGAGAAGAAGAGAUUGGGAGAGAGGCUGGCUCUGACACUCGCGCCACGUAACAGCGCUUCAGAGAAAAGGCCAGCUCCCCUGUGCUCUGCAGCCAGCACCGAGCACAUCCCAGCCUCGGCACCUGCUGGAACCCUCGGCAAAACAACCCAUGACAGCAACAAGGCCACAUCACCCAGCUGCCCUCCCGCUGCUCAGGAAGGACCAGGCUCUGGGCCAAGCUGUGGGGCAGGAAGGAAAUUUGCCUGUCUGAGGCUGAGCCCUGGGUGGUGGCCAGCAGCCCCAGAUGUGGGCACGGAGCAAUCGGGGGUCCUGCUCUCGGCCAUGGGGUUCUCACGUGCUCCACAGCUUUCCCAUGGAUAUAAACCCAUUAAUAAAAGAUCAGUUUGGAGACACAGCUCGCUGUAGAUGACAGCAUUAGAGGCACAUCAGCUUCUCCUAAAGCUCAGUCUCGUGCUGGGUUUAUUUGGUCCAUUUGUGGCAGGGGAAGAGUUGCUUUCGGCAUUCAGAGAUGUCUUGUGUCUGGGAGAAGUAGCGGGGUGAGAUAUAUUUUUGGCUCUAUUUAGCCACAAAAAUUUGGAUUUAGAAUAAAGAGAAAUAUUCCUGUUUGCUGCCAAACUGAGGCAGACGAUUUCUUG
Cyanistes caeruleus (blue tit) is the source of this 804-nucleotide non-coding RNA. NCBI's taxonomy places the organism in Eukaryota, Metazoa, Chordata, Aves, Passeriformes, Paridae. The record is from RefSeq and is a predicted model, not a curated record.